RNAcentral lists this ribosomal RNA (55 nucleotides) under Drosophila quadraria. RNAcentral's name for it is "partial 5.8S ribosomal RNA". It matches the Rfam family "5.8S ribosomal RNA", at positions 1 to 55 of the family's 154-position model. Rfam says of the family: 5.8S ribosomal RNA (5.8S rRNA) is a component of the large subunit of the eukaryotic ribosome. The record is from RNAcentral. Lineage: Eukaryota; Metazoa; Arthropoda; Insecta; Diptera; Drosophilidae.
AACUCUAAGGGGUGGAUCACUCGGCUCAUGGGUCGAUGAAGAACGCAGCAAACUG